Molecule: ribosomal RNA, 468 nt
Filed under: uncultured bacterium
Lineage: Bacteria
Description: partial 16S ribosomal RNA
Rfam family: Bacterial small subunit ribosomal RNA
Source: RNAcentral
GACGAACGCUGGCGGCGUGCUUAACACAUGCAAGUCGAACGGAAAGGCCCUGCUUUUGUGGGGUGCUCGAGUGGCGAACGGGUGAGUAACACGUGAGUAACCUGCCCUUGACUUUGGGAUAACUUCAGGAAACUGGGGCUAAUACCGGAUAGGAGCUCCUGCUGCAUGGUGGGGGUUGGAAAGUUUCGGCGGUUGGGGAUGGACUCGCGGCUUAUCAGCUUGUUGGUGGGGUAGUGGCUUACCAAGGCUUUGACGGGUAGCCGGCCUGAGAGGGUGACCGGCCACAUGGGGACUGAGAUACGGCCCAGACUCCUACGGGAGGCAGCAGUGGGAAAUAUUACACAAUGAGCGGAAGCCUGAUGCAGCAGCGCCGCGUGCGGAAUGACGGCCUUCGGGUUGUAAACCGCUUUCGCCUGUGACGAAGCGUGAGUGACGGUAAUGGGUAAAGAAGCACCGGCUAACUACGUG